Molecule: ribosomal RNA, 468 nt
Filed under: uncultured bacterium
Lineage: Bacteria
Description: partial 16S ribosomal RNA
Rfam family: Bacterial small subunit ribosomal RNA
Source: RNAcentral
GACGAACGCUGGCGGCGUGCUUAACACAUGCAAGUCGAACGGAAAGGCCCUGCUUUUGUGGGGUGCUCGAGUGGCGAACGGGUGAGUAACACGUGAGUAACCUGCCCUUGACUUUGGGAUAACUUCAGGAAACUGGGGCUAAUACUGGAUAGGAGCUCCUGCUGCAUGGUGGGGGUUGGAAAGUUUCGGCGGUUGGGGAUGGACUCGCGGCUUAUCAGCUUGUUGGUGGGGGAGUGGCUUACCAAGGCUUUGACGGGUAGCCGGCCUGAGAGGGUGACCGGCCACAUUGGGACUGAGAUACGGCCCAGACUCCUACGGGAGGCAGCAGUGGGGAAUAUUGCACAAUGGGCGGAAGCCUGAUGCAGCAACGCCGCGUGCGGGAUGACGGCCUUCGGGUUGUAAACCGCUUUCGCCUGUGACGAAGCGUGAGUGACGGUAAUGGGUAAAGAAGCACCGGCUAACUACGUG